This is a long non-coding RNA of Pyrgilauda ruficollis (rufous-necked snowfinch), 1209 nucleotides long. RefSeq lists it as uncharacterized. Lineage: Eukaryota; Metazoa; Chordata; Aves; Passeriformes; Passeridae. The record is from RefSeq and is a predicted model, not a curated record. The transcript has 4 exons.
GGCUGUUGUCUCGGCAACCGGGUGUCCACAUUCCCGGUGCCGCCGAGGGCCGGGGCGGAACGGGCAGGUACGGGCAGGAACGGGCGGACACAGACCGCACACCGCCCCUGAGCAGGGUCGGGGACCUCCCCGGUGCCCCCCGCGCCGCCUCAGCAGCUCAGGUACCCACCCGUCGUUCCCAGCGCGCCCCGCGCGGCCUCACCUGGGCGGGGCUGGGGCGUGAGGCGACUUCCGGUGGCGCCUCCAGGUGAAGCCUGAGGCGAGGCCCCGGAGGGCGCCGCCUCAGGGCCUCACCUCAUCCCUCACCUGGGCUCCCCGAGCCAUCGCCCCGAGCGCCGGGUUCUCUCUCUGGAGACAGCAGAGGCCAUGGCUGAGCUGGGCCAGCUCUGCAGCCUCGGCCCUGCUGCGCGUUCGGAGCCGGGACCGAGCUUAGAAACAAAAUCCCGGCUCUGGCCUGAGUGGUGACGCUGGACGUGUGGGCUGUGACCGGAUCCCGCCUUUCCAGCUCAGGGAUACACGAGGUUUCAAGAUUUCCUUAUAAACACCACAGGAAAGGGAUCUCAAACUGGGGGAAAAAAAAGAGAUUUCAGUCUCAAUGAAAGAGAUUUCAUUAUAACCAGGUCAUCCCAACAUGGAUUCCCUCACCAAGGGAAUAACAACAUCUUCCUUCCAGUCAAACACUUCCCACCUAACAAGGAACAAGGAAUUUAUGCCAGGUUUGUUCCAGAAUCUGCAGCCUCAGCCACACAAACCCACCAGGGAAGCAAAGAAAACUCCUUCCAGCCUGCAGAGCCACACCACACACCGAGCUCCUCAGCUGCCUGCCUGAUGAUGCAAGCAGUGAAUAAGCACGAAUAAAGACACAGAAACUGGGUGUUGUUUGUAGAAGUGAGGAGCAGAGCCCUCCACCCAGCACUGGGGAUACCAGAGCUCUUGCACAACUCAGCUCUCAGCCUGCUGCUCCUCUUCAUGCAUCUCUGUCUCUGUGGGCACUUUUUCACCAGGAGCACUGGGGAAGUUUUCCUUCCUCCCCAGCUGGGAUGCCAGAGUGGGAUUCCUGCGUCAGGAUUUCCCUCAGACUCUGCACACCAUGAGCAGGCCUGUGCUGGCCUGCCAGGGCUGGCUCACGGGCAGCUAAUUAGUGGUACUGAGUUCUAAGAAUUGGAAGAUGAUCAUUAACUAAAAUUGGUUUGAAAGCUUCCAGUUUUG